AGAGUUUGAUCAUGGCUCAGGACGAACGCUGGCGGCGUGCCUAAUACAUGCAAGUCGAGCGGAGUUAUUCGGGAGCUUGCUCCUGAAUGACUUAGCGGCGGACGGGUGAGUAACACGUAGGUAACCUGCCCCCUAGAUCGGGAUAACAUUCGGAAACGAAUGCUAAGACCGGAUACACGGUUUGGUCGCAUGACCGAAUCGGGAAACACGGAGCAAUCUGUGGCUUGGGGAUGGGCCUGCGGCGCAUUAGCUAGUUGGUGGGGUAACGGCUCACCAAGGCAACGAUGCGUAGCCGACCUGAGAGGGUGAACGGCCACACUGGGACUGAGACACGGCCCAGACUCCUACGGGAGGCAGCAGUAGGGAAUCUUCCACAAUGGGCGAAAGCCUGAUGGAGCAACGCCGCGUGAGUGAGGAAGGCUUUCGGGUCGUAAAGCUCUGUUGCCAGGGAAGAAUAAGGGCUAGUUAACUGCUAGUCCGAUGACGGUACCUGAGAAGAAAGCCCCGGCUAACUACGUGCCAGCAGCCGCGGUAAUACGUAGGGGGCAAGCGUUGUCCGGAAUUAUUGGGCGUAAAGCGCGCGCAGGCGGUUCUUUAAGUCUGGUGUUUAAGUGCGGGGCUCAACCCCGUGACGCACUGGAAACUGGGGGACUUGAGUGCAGAAGAGGAGAGCGGAAUUCCACGUGUAGCGGUGAAAUGCGUAGAGAUGUGGAGGAACACCAGUGGCGAAGGCGGCUCUCUGGACUGUAACUGACGCUGAGGCGCGAAAGCGUGGGGAGCAAACAGGAUUAGAUACCCCCGUAGUCC
Molecule: ribosomal RNA, 807 nt
Filed under: uncultured bacterium
Lineage: Bacteria
Description: bacterial SSU rRNA
Rfam family: Bacterial small subunit ribosomal RNA
Source: RNAcentral